CCCUUAGAUGUUCUGGGCUGCACGCGCGCUACACUGAUACUUUCAGCGAGUCCACCACCUUGCCUGGGAAGGUGGGGUAACCUCUGGAAAGUGCAUCGUGAUGGGGAUCGAUUAUUGUAAUUAUUAAUCUUCAACGAGGAAUUCCUAGUAAGCAUGUGUCAUCAGCCCGUGCUGAUUACGUCCCUGCCCUUUGUACACACCGCCCGUCGCUCCUACCGAUUGAGUGGUCCGGUGAGGCUUUGGGAUCUGAGCGGAAAGAGCGUUUCGCUGUUUCUGCUCGGAAAACUCAGUCGAACCUUAUCAUUUAGAGGAAGGAGAAGUCGUAACA
Molecule: ribosomal RNA, 328 nt
Filed under: uncultured eukaryote
Lineage: Eukaryota
Description: partial 18S ribosomal RNA
Rfam family: Eukaryotic small subunit ribosomal RNA
Source: RNAcentral